Long non-coding RNA from Manis javanica (Malayan pangolin), 1309 nucleotides. RefSeq lists it as uncharacterized. NCBI's taxonomy places the organism in Eukaryota, Metazoa, Chordata, Mammalia, Pholidota, Manidae. The record is from RefSeq and is a predicted model, not a curated record.
ACGUGUUCUGAAGAAAUCUGCUUGGGAUGCUGAUUUAGAUGAGAAGAAUCUAUUUCCAGAGUCAACAGUGAUGGCAGAUAAUCCAAACAUCUAAAGAUGUGGCCAACCCUUUAUGCAACAAAUAUUUAUUGAAUGGCUGCUUGCAAGAGUGAACAGGACGAGGUUUCAGCCGCCGAGUGUUUUCAUUCUCGAGGGGAGACAGACGACAAACACACACACAAAUUACGUCAUUAAAAGUUGUAAAAGAUGUUGAGAAGAAACAUAAAUCAGAUGGAGUUGUUAUCCACUGUUGUACCCCCAGCACCUGGCACAAUGGCUGACACAGUUGCCCUUGUUUUCAAGCAUCCACCAUGCGUCAGGCACUGUACCAAGUGCUGGAUGAGUGAAGGCAACAUGGUUUGCUUCCCAGAAGCAAGCUGAGCGACAAAGAUUCUCUGAAGGCAGAGCUGAAAGAGACUCCUUAAGGAAGCCCGCCCUAGCCAGCUCUGCAGGGAGCUUGGAGGUGUAGACCCCAGUUCCAGGUUGUCUCUGGUUCAAGGUAAGGAAGCCAGGCCCUCGUCCCCCUGUGUUAGAAGUCACUGGCUGCCCCCACUGAGAUGGAAGCGCUCAGGCAUUUUGGAUUGCCUGCACAGGGAGAGGAAAGCCCCUCUGGGAGUUGAGGGCAGCCUGGCCACAGGUUCCACUGUUAGGAGCAAAGGUUCAAGGCAGGUAAGGGAGAAGAGCACAGAAAUGGUAAGACGGCUGCCCGCGCAGGGGUCCGAGUGUCACCAGGCUGCCACCUUCUCUGUAAAGGGUUACCAUCUAGUGAGUGGUGGAGAGAGACUGGCAGGAAGGAACAAUGGCCGGGUGUGUCAUCAGCAAAUACUGUAAGUACCUGUGGCACAGACUCGGAGGAGGGCGUCUGCCUGGAAUGGGCACCGGAGGUGGAUGUCCCCAGCCUGCAGGCACCCUGCACCGUUUGCCCUUCCCCCUCCUUCCUGGGCUGUGGGCGGAGUGGCCAUCAUACCACCAUGAGGGGACAUGGAUGAGGACCCAAGUUCCCAGGAAGGCAGGUGGAAGGCUGGAAGAAUCCCCUGCCUCUGAUGGCAUCAUGGAGCCAGCGCAUCGUCCCCCGGACCGUUACCCCCAGACUUCUUCCCUGUGAGGAAAACGAGCCCCUGGUUUUCAGACUUUCUCUAUCAGGUGCAGCUGAAUUUAAUCCCAAGCAGGGCCCAAGCCUCGGAGGAAGGUCAGCUCAGAGUAAGUUCAAUUUCACAGGAUGGAAGGAGAGGGAAGUGCUAAUGUGGGUCAGAAGGCUUCUCAAAGCAGC